This 440-nucleotide ribosomal RNA is filed under the name uncultured bacterium. RNAcentral describes it as "partial 16S ribosomal RNA". It matches the Rfam family "Bacterial small subunit ribosomal RNA", at positions 338 to 795 of the family's 1533-position model. The record is from RNAcentral.
CCUACGGGAGGCAGCAGUGGGGAAUAUUGCACAAUGGGGGAAACCCUGAUGCAGCGACGCCGCGUGAGUGAAGAAGUAAUUCGUUAUGUAAAGCUCUAUCAGCAGGGAAGAAAAUGACGGUACCUGAGUAAGAAGCCCCGGCUAACUACGGGCCAGCAGCCGCGGUAAUACGUAGGGGGCAAGCGUUAUCCGGAUUUACUGGGUGUAAAGGGAGCGUAGACGGCAGUGCAAGUCUGGAGUGAAAGGGGGGGGCUCAACCCCCGGACUGCUCUGGAAACUGUACGGCUGGAGUGCAGGAGAGGUAAGUGGAAUUCGUAGUGUAGCGGUGAAAUGCGUAGAUAUUAGGAGGAACACCAGUGGCGAAGGCAGCUUACUGGACUGUAACUGACGUUGAGGCUCGAAAGCGUGGGGAGCAAACAGGAUUAGAUACCCUUGUAGUC